CUCGGUCCGGGCGCGUGGCGCGGUGGCUGAUUAGCUAGUUGGUGAGGUAAAGGCUUACCAAGGCGACGAUCAGUAGCUGGUCUGAGAGGACGACCAGCCACACUGGGACUGAGACACGGCCCAGACUCCUACGGGAGGCAGCAGUGGGGAAUUUUGGACAAUGGGGGAAACCCUGAUCCAGCCAUGCCGCGUGAGUGAAGAAGGCCUUCGGGUUGUAAAGCUCUUUCAGCCGGAACGAAACGGUCACGGCUAAUACCUGUGACCACUGACGGUACCGGAAGAAGAAGCACCGGCUAACUACGUGCCAGCAGCCGCGGUAAUACGUAGGGUGCGAGCGUUAAUCGGAAUUACUGGGCGUAAAGCGUGCGCAGGCGGUUUUGUAAGUCAGAUGUGAAAUCCCCGGGCUUAACCUGGGAACUGCGUUUGAACAA
RNAcentral lists this ribosomal RNA (431 nucleotides) under uncultured bacterium. RNAcentral describes it as "bacterial SSU rRNA". It matches the Rfam family "Bacterial small subunit ribosomal RNA", at positions 211 to 635 of the family's 1533-position model. The record is from RNAcentral.